This 362-nucleotide ribosomal RNA is filed under the name Metatrichia floripara. Its description in RNAcentral is "partial small subunit ribosomal RNA". It matches the Rfam family "Bacterial small subunit ribosomal RNA", at positions 558 to 930 of the family's 1533-position model. The record is from RNAcentral. Lineage: Eukaryota; Evosea; Eumycetozoa; Trichiida; Trichiidae.
GCGUAGGGUAUGUAGGUCGUGAAAAAAGAAAAAAUUAAAAUACUAGGUACUAAUCUUUUAAGUUUUUUACUAUUUCAUAGAAUCUUAGAAAGGGGAUGGUACUUUUAGGGUAGUGGUUAAAUAGAAUAUAAAAAAAGGACCGACAGUGGCGAAAGAAUCACCUUUUCAAGUAUUGACGUAAGGUACGAAGGCAAGGGAGCAAAGAGGAUUUGACACCCUCGUAGUCUGUGUGUCAACGCUGAGUUUUCAAUGUAGGAAUGUUGUGUUUACAAUACUUGGUGUUUAAGUAACGCAUUAAAUUCUCCGCUGGGAAGUACGGCCGCAGGUUGAAACUCAAAAGAAUUGAGGUGACUUGUACGAGG